UCUGUGCAACAUGAACAGGGCCCUUACGUGACAACAAGAUGCAUUUUCAACUCAGACAUUGGUUAAAUUCACCUACCCUGGUCCCUGUCUCGAUCCUGCUGGUAGCUGCUAGCUCCUAGCUGCCGUGCUAGCUGAUGGCCGUUAGGCGAUAAGAGCUACCAGCU
Molecule: long non-coding RNA, 164 nt
Organism: Etheostoma spectabile (orangethroat darter)
Lineage: Eukaryota; Metazoa; Chordata; Actinopteri; Perciformes; Percidae
Exons: 3
Source: RefSeq, a predicted model, not a curated record